UUUAAGAGAGUAAAAUAUUGACAAAAACUGCAUUAAGUUUUCAACUCUUGUUUUGUUUUUCAUUAAAAAUUUGCUACCAUUAUGUAUAAUUCAUUUUUUUUAAUGUAAAUGUUUUUAAGUAUUUGUAGGAUAAAGGCAAAUUACACUUAUUCAUUCUUUCUUUGAUAUAAUACAUGUAGCUCUUUACCUGAAAUCAAUGUUUGUCAAAUUAUUGUGCAUAAAUUAGAAGUAUGCAUGUUUCUCUUAAGUCAGUUAUGUUUCAGGAACUAUCUUUAAUGAAUUGUAUAGAAAAUUGUGGACGAGGUGUUAGGUGUACAGGAACGUGGUAUAUUAUAAACAUGUAUAGUAUCUCAUAGUAUAUAAACUCAUAACUUUGAUUAUGCAGUAUGCUUUGUAUAUUAUUUCUGAAAGCAUGUAUAUUUCAAUCAAGAUUGUUGAGUAAACUUUUCUUGCUUUAUGCUAUCUCUGAAAGCAUGUAUAUUUCAGUCAAGAUUGUUGAGUAAAUUGUGCUUAUUUUAUGCUUUUUUCUUUUUUACAUUAGAAAAUUCCACACCUUUAUCACGAGGAAAUCUGCAAUGGCAUUUAGGAAUGACAAAUAGAAGCUCAACUAUUCGAAGCAGGAGACCGAAGAGAAAAAAGGAAGAGAGAUGAUAUUACAGCUGCAGAAAAGGAAAUAAUUGAAACGCAGAAGAAUAUAUUAAUGUACUGUGUGAAAUAUGUGACUUGUAUAAGCAAUCAGUUGCAAAUCAGUCUGCUGUCAUAGAAAAUCAAAAUAUAAUUAUUAAUUUAUUAAAAAAAUAAAUCAUGCAUUUCAAAUAUUA
Molecule: long non-coding RNA, 821 nt
Organism: Stegodyphus dumicola
Lineage: Eukaryota; Metazoa; Arthropoda; Arachnida; Araneae; Eresidae
Source: RefSeq, a predicted model, not a curated record